UACGGAGGGGGUUAGCGUUGUUCGGAAUUACUGGGCGUAAAGCGCACGUAGGCGGUUUGGUAAGUCUGGGGUGAAAUCCCGGGGCUCAACCCCGGAACUGCCUCAUAAACUAUCAGUCUUGAGUUCGAGAGAGGUGAGUGGAAUUCCGAGUGUAGAGGUGAAAUGCGUAGAUAUUCGGAGGAACACCAGUGGCGAAGGCGGCUCACUGGAUCAAUACUGACGCUGAGGUGCGAAAGCGUGGGGAGCAAACAGG
RNAcentral lists this ribosomal RNA (253 nucleotides) under uncultured bacterium. Its description in RNAcentral is "partial 16S ribosomal RNA". It matches the Rfam family "Bacterial small subunit ribosomal RNA", at positions 524 to 776 of the family's 1533-position model. The record is from RNAcentral.